AGAACAGGGAGACGGAGCGCUGCGCAGCCUUCGGGGACAGCCUUCGAAGCCUCUGCAGGGCAGCGGGAUGCCUUUACCCCACUGCCCUGUGGAGGCUAUGCGCAGCCAUCCCCAAGCUAGAACAGCGAGACGGAGCGCUGCGCAGCGCUCCGUCUCCCUGUUCU
Non-coding RNA from Podarcis lilfordi (Lilford's wall lizard), 164 nucleotides. The record is from the annotation of a GenBank genome assembly. Lineage: Eukaryota; Metazoa; Chordata; Lepidosauria; Squamata; Lacertidae.